RNAcentral lists this ribosomal RNA (292 nucleotides) under uncultured bacterium. RNAcentral's name for it is "partial 16S ribosomal RNA". It matches the Rfam family "Bacterial small subunit ribosomal RNA", at positions 505 to 796 of the family's 1533-position model. The record is from RNAcentral.
GUGUCAGCAGCCGCGGUAAUACAGAGACUGCAAGCGUUAUUCGGAUUCACUGGGCGUAAAGGGUGCGCAGGCCGCCGUGUGUGUGAGGUGUGAAAUCCCGGAGCUUAACUCCGGAACUGCGCCUCAAACUACACGGCUAGAGCAUUGGAGAGGGAAGUGGAAUUCACGGUGUAGCAGUGAAAUGCGUAGAUAUCGUGAGGAACACCAGAGGCGAAGGCGACUUCCUGGACAAUUGCUGACGCUCAGGCACGAAAGCGUGGGGAGCAAAAGGGAUUAGAUACCCCCGUAGUCC